AUGAAGGUCUGGUGACUGAGCGGCGGACGGGUGAGUAACGCGUGGGCAACCUGCCUCAUACAGGGGGAUAACAGUUAGAAAUGACUGCUAAUACCGCAUAAGCGCACAGGACCGCAUGGUGUAGUGUGAAAAACUCCGGUGGUAUGAGAUGGACCCGCGUCUGAUUAGGUAGUUGGUGGGGUAAAGGCCUACCAAGCCGACGAUCAGUAGCCGACCUGAGAGGAUGAACGGCCACAUUGGAGCUGAGACACGGCCCAGACUCC
This 263-nucleotide ribosomal RNA is filed under the name uncultured Lachnospiraceae bacterium. RNAcentral's name for it is "partial 16S ribosomal RNA". It matches the Rfam family "Bacterial small subunit ribosomal RNA", at positions 77 to 339 of the family's 1533-position model. Lineage: Bacteria; Bacillati; Bacillota; Clostridia; Lachnospirales; Lachnospiraceae. The record is from RNAcentral.